Molecule: long non-coding RNA, 113 nt
Organism: Pipistrellus kuhlii (Kuhl's pipistrelle)
Lineage: Eukaryota; Metazoa; Chordata; Mammalia; Chiroptera; Vespertilionidae
Exons: 3
Source: RefSeq, a predicted model, not a curated record
GCUCUGCCCUGCAGAGGCUGGUCUGCGUGGACACAGCUCCCACCCUCGGGCUUGGAGCUGCGCGGAGGGGCGCCUGGGGUGACUCCUCCCUCCCAGUGGGAGGGGACCUCACA